CCGAAUAUAGCUCAGCGGUAGAGCGGGAGACUGUAGUGUACUGUUAUCUCUAGGUCCCUGGUUCAAAUCCGGGUGUUCGGA
Molecule: transfer RNA, 81 nt
Filed under: Smittium mucronatum
Lineage: Eukaryota; Fungi; Kickxellomycota; Harpellomycetes; Harpellales; Legeriomycetaceae
Rfam family: tRNA
About the family: Transfer RNA (tRNA) molecules are approximately 80 nucleotides in length. Their secondary structure includes four short double-helical elements and three loops (D, anti-codon, and T loops).
Source: Rfam by way of RNAcentral